RNAcentral lists this ribosomal RNA (467 nucleotides) under uncultured bacterium. Its description in RNAcentral is "partial 16S ribosomal RNA". It matches the Rfam family "Bacterial small subunit ribosomal RNA", at positions 28 to 507 of the family's 1533-position model. The record is from RNAcentral.
GACGAACGCUGGCGGCGUGCUUAACACAUGCAAGUCGAACGGAAAGGCCCUGCUUUUGUGGGGUGCUCGAGUGGCGAACGGGUGAGUAACACGUGAGUAACCUGCCCUUGACUUUGGGAUAACUUCAGGAAACUGGGGCUAAUACCGGAUAGGAGCUCCUGCUGCAUGGUGGGGGUUGGAAAGUUUCGGCGGUUGGGGAUGGACUCGCGGCUUAUCAGCUUGUUGGUGGGGUAGUGGCUUACCAAGGCUUUGACGGGUAGCCGGCCUGAGAGGGUGACCGGCCACAUUGGACCGAGAUACGGCCCAGACUCCUACGGGAGGCAGCAGUGGGGAAUAUUGCACAAUGGGCGGAAGCCUGAUGCAGCAACGCCGCGUGCGGGAUGACGGCCUUCGGGUUGUAAACCGCUUUCGCCUGUGACGAAGCGUGAGUGACGGUAAUGGGUAAAGAAGCACCGGCUAACUACGUG